CCUACGGGUGGCAGCAGUGAGGAAUAUUGGUCAAUGGCCGCGAGGCUGAACCAGCCAAGUCGCGUGAGGGAAGACGGCCCUACGGGUUGUAAACCUCUUUUGUCGGGGAGCAAAGAGAGUAUCGUGUGUCUCAUUGAGCGUACCCGAAGAAAAAGCAUCGGCUACCUCCGUGCCAGCAGCCGCGGUAAUACGGAGGAUGCGAGCGUUAUCCGGAUUUAGUGGGUUUAAAGGGUGCGCAGGCGGAGGUGCAAGUCAGCGGUAAAAUUGCGGGGCUCAACCCCGUACUGCCGUUGAACCUGCAGCCCUUGAGUGCGCGAGAAGUAUGCGGAAUGCGUGGUGUAGCGGUGAAAUGCAUAGAGAUCACGCAGAACUCCGAUUGCGAAGGCAGCAUACCGGCGCGCAACUGACGCUCAUGCACGAAAGCGUGGGUAUCGAACAGGAUUAGAUACCCGUGUAGUC
Molecule: ribosomal RNA, 459 nt
Filed under: uncultured bacterium
Lineage: Bacteria
Description: partial 16S ribosomal RNA
Rfam family: Bacterial small subunit ribosomal RNA
Source: RNAcentral